Molecule: long non-coding RNA, 137 nt
Organism: Sinocyclocheilus rhinocerous
Lineage: Eukaryota; Metazoa; Chordata; Actinopteri; Cypriniformes; Cyprinidae
Exons: 3
Source: RefSeq, a predicted model, not a curated record
UUAGGAUGAUUCAAUGUUAGAUACGACCAUCUUUCCCUGAUCUUUUAUGUAAUUAUAAGUUCAGCAAUAAUAAUAAUAAAAAAGAGGGACAGGUGCACUAACAUCUCAUAGCAUCACUAACUCAACAAUCUAGUAUG